This 148-nucleotide non-coding RNA is filed under the name Homo sapiens (human). The record is from Rfam by way of RNAcentral. Lineage: Eukaryota; Metazoa; Chordata; Mammalia; Primates; Hominidae.
GCUGGGCGUGGUGGCGCAUGCCUAUAGUCCCAGCUACCCCGGAGGCUGAGGUGGGAGGAUCGCUUGAGUCUGGGAGGUUGAGGCUGCAGUGAGCCAUGAUCAUGCCACUGCACUCCAGCCUGGGCAACAGAGUGAAACCCUGUCUCAA